This 1081-nucleotide ribosomal RNA is filed under the name uncultured bacterium. RNAcentral describes it as "bacterial SSU rRNA". It matches the Rfam family "Bacterial small subunit ribosomal RNA", at positions 325 to 1407 of the family's 1533-position model. The record is from RNAcentral.
AUCGGGGCACGAUUCUACGGGAGGCAGCAGUGGGGAAUUUUGGACAAUGGGGGCAACCCUGACUCUUAGCCAUGCCGCGUGAAGGAUGACGGCCCUCUGGGUUGUAAACUUCUUUUAUGCGGGAAUAAACCCCUCUACGUGUAGAGGGUUGAAUGUACCGUAAGAAUAAGGAUCGGCUAACUCCGUGCCAGCAGCCGCGGUAAUACGGAGGAUGCGAGCGUUAUCCGGAUUUAUUGGGUUUAAAGGGUGCGUAGGCGGAUUAAUAAGUCAGCGGUGAAAACCUUCAGCUUAACUGGAGACUUGCCAUUGAUACUGUUAGUCUUGAGUACGGUCAAGGUAGGCGGAAUGUGUAAUGUAGCGGUGAAAUGCUUAGAUAUUACACAGAACACCGAUUGCGAAGGCAGCUUACUGGGCCAUUACUGACGCUGAGGCACGAAAGCGUGGGGAGCGAACAGGAUUAGAUACCCUGGUAGUCCACGCCGUAAACGAUGAUCACUCGCUGUUGGCGAUACACAGUCAGCGGCUAAGCAAAAGCAUUAAGUGAUCCACCUGGGGAGUACGGCCGCAAGGCUGAAACUCAAAGGAAUUGACGGGGGCCCGCACAAGCGGAGGAACAUGUGGUUUAAUUCGAUGAUACGCGAGGAACCUUACCUGGGCUUAAAUGUAGAGUGCAUGGGGUAGAAAUAUCCCUUUCCUUCGGGACUCUUUGCAAGGUGCUGCAUGGUUGUCGUCAGCUCGUGCCGUGAGGUGUCGGGUUAAGUCCCAUAACGAGCGCAACCCUUAUCGUUAGUUGCCAGCGGGUAAUGCCGGGAACUCUAACGAAACUGCCGGUGUAAACCGUGAGGAAGGUGGGGAUGACGUCAAAUCAGCACGGCCCUUAUGUCCAGGGCUACACACGUGUUACAAUGGCCGGUACAGAGGGCAGCUACCUGGAGACAGGAUGCGAAUCUCCAAAGCCGGUCUCAGUUCGGAUCGGAGUCUGCAACUCGACUCCGUGAAGCUGGAUUCGCUAGUAAUCGCGCAUCAGCCAUGGCGCGGUGAAUACGUUCCCGGGCCUUGUACACCCCGUAUACCGAUAUGA